RNAcentral lists this ribosomal RNA (780 nucleotides) under Patellaria sp. RNAcentral's name for it is "partial large subunit ribosomal RNA". It matches the Rfam family "Eukaryotic large subunit ribosomal RNA", at positions 334 to 1433 of the family's 3401-position model. Lineage: Eukaryota; Fungi; Ascomycota; Dothideomycetes; Patellariales; Patellariaceae. The record is from RNAcentral.
CCGAUAGCGCACAAGUAGAGUGAUCGAAAGAUGAAAAGCACUUUGAAAAGAGAGUCAAACAGUACGUGAAAUUGUUGAAAGGGAAGCGCUUGCGACCAGACUUGCCCGCAGUUGCUCAACCGGCCUUCUGGCUCGGUGCACUCUUCUGCGGUCAGGCCAGCAUCGGUUCGGGCGGCUGGAUAAAGACCUCGGGAAUGUGGCUCUCCUUGGAGAGUGUUAUAGCCCUUGGUGCAAUGCAGCCAGCCUGGACCGAGGACCGCGCUUCGGCUAGGAUGCUGGCGUAAUGGUCGUAAGCGGCCCGUCUUGAAACACGGACCAAGGAGUCUAACAUCUAUGCGAGUGUUUGGGUGUUAAACCCAUACGCGUAAUGAAAGUGAACGGAGGUGGGAACCUUUGGGUGCACCAUCGACCGAUCCUGAUGUCUUCGGAAGGAUUUGAGUAAGAGCAUAGCUGUUGGGACCCGAAAGAUGGUGAACUAUACCUGAAUAGGGUGAAGCCAGAGGAAACUCUGGUGGAGGCUCGCAGCGGUUCUGACGUGCAAAUCGAUCGUCAAAUUUGGGUAUAGGGGCGAAAGACUAAUCGAACCAUUGCUACUAGGUGGUUAAAAGGCGAGGCUUGGGGUCGCGCCUAGUCCCUCACCCGGGGCUACACUACUAAAUUGCGGGGACACCCAGGUCGGCUCAGACAACCGCGGCUCACCCGAAAGGGAGGAGUGCAGCACCGAGUUCAUCGCUCGGGGGAGGUAACAUUGUCUGAGAUCGGGUAACCGCGCAGCCAAGU